UACUACAGCCAUGCCACCCUGAACAAGCCCAAUCCUGUCUGAUCUCAGAAGCUAAGCAGGGUUGGGCCUUGGUUAGAACUUGGAUGAGAGACCACCUAGGAAGUCCAGAUGCUGUAGGUG
This 120-nucleotide ribosomal RNA is filed under the name Pteropus alecto (black flying fox). The record is from RNAcentral. Lineage: Eukaryota; Metazoa; Chordata; Mammalia; Chiroptera; Pteropodidae.